Long non-coding RNA from Actinia tenebrosa (Australian red waratah sea anemone), 1100 nucleotides. The record is from RefSeq and is a predicted model, not a curated record. Lineage: Eukaryota; Metazoa; Cnidaria; Anthozoa; Actiniaria; Actiniidae.
AUUAAUAGAAAAUUUAAUGGUUUAGCGUUAGAACCAGAAUCACUGCCGGAUGAUGAAACUUGGAGAAGCUUGCCAGAAUGGAAGCGUCAAGUUUUAAAAAAUCGCAUCAUGAAGGAACAGUCUGCAGAACUCGAGAAGAGAAAAAAAGAAGAAGAAGUGAGCAAUAAAUGGGAAGGAGUUCCUGCCUGGAAAAUACCCAUCAUGCAGCGCAGGGAACUUGACAGGAUAAGAGAAGAUGAGAAGAACUCAAGCAUGCCUGCCUGGAGGAAACAACUCGCACAAAAGAAACAAGAAAAAGUCAACAAGCAAGAUUAAAACCAAGAAGAAAACUACGUUCAAGUAAAUUCAAAAUACAAGCCUUUUUUCUUGGAAAUUUUUUUGUAGUAGUUUUGUUUAGUUCGCUUAGCUUCGUUAGUUAUUCUAGGAUAGAUUUCUUUCUUCUAGAGUUACACAUGAGAUAAUCACGACUUCAAAGCGGAUUAACCCAAGUCCACGCAUGCGCCCUACGAUAGUUGCUGUUGCUUGAGAUUGUUUGCAUAUUAAGCUAUGUACUCGAUUCAACUGAAAUAUUAUUACUAGCCAAUAGAAUUAAUUAUCAUUGAUACUAGUUCUGUUCAUCUUAGAGUGCACGCACUAAACCCGUGAAACAAAUACUAACUUUUAGUACUAAAUGGUGAUAAAUAAACAAUAGAAAACAAAGGAUUCUGUAUGAAAUAGUACUAAUUAGUACUAAUUAAUGUUAACGGAUUUAGUGCGUGCACUCUAGUACUGAGCAGUGAAUACUUCAAUUUAUCGUUAAUAGCCGCUCAUUACUGACCGUGCGUGUAUUUCUACAAAAAGAGAUGUAUUCACUACAAUAAACAUGUUGGUUUAGCCUGGUUUUGGCUUCUAAAAGACUCUCGUUAUGAUUUACCGCGAUGACUCAUAAGACAAGCGCCUUUGAAACAGUUUUAUUUCCAAAGGCGAAAUUGUCUGUGUACUCAAUAUAGACAACUACGUGCAUGGGAUUAUAACCGUUAGUAUAGAUACGUGAUGCAUGAUAAUGUAUGAAUACAUUCUACCACAUUACUCCUUGCAAAAUAAAUAUAUUAUAGUCACUG